CCUACGAGGGGCAGCAGUGAGGAAUAUUGGUCAAUGGGCGGAAGCCUGAACCAGCCAAGUCGCGUGAGGGAAUAAGGCCCUACGGGUCGUAAACCUCUUUUGCCGGGGAGCAAGGGCGGGGACGUGUCCCGGCCCGGAGAGUACCCGGAGAAAAAGCAUCGGCUAACUACGUGCCAGCAGCCGCGGUAAUACGGGGGAUGAGAGCGUUAUCCGGAGUUAUUGGUGUUAAAGGGUGCGUAGGCGGGCUUUUAAGUCAGCGGUAAAAAUUCGGGGCUCAACCCCGUCCGGCCGUUGAAACUGGGGGCCGUGAGUGGGCGAGAAGAAGGCGGAAUGCGUGGUGUAGCGGUGAAAUGCAUAGAUAUCACGCAGAACCCCGAUUGCGAAGGCAGCCUUCCGGCGCCCUACUGACGCUGAGGCACGAAAGUGCGGGGAUCGAACAGGAUUAGAUACCCGGGUAGUC
Molecule: ribosomal RNA, 460 nt
Filed under: uncultured bacterium
Lineage: Bacteria
Description: partial 16S ribosomal RNA
Rfam family: Bacterial small subunit ribosomal RNA
Source: RNAcentral